This 1178-nucleotide ribosomal RNA is filed under the name Lactiplantibacillus plantarum. RNAcentral's name for it is "bacterial SSU rRNA". It matches the Rfam family "Bacterial small subunit ribosomal RNA", at positions 327 to 1497 of the family's 1533-position model. Lineage: Bacteria; Bacillati; Bacillota; Bacilli; Lactobacillales; Lactobacillaceae. The record is from RNAcentral.
CGGCCCAAACUCCUACGGGAGGCAGCAGUAGGGAAUCUUCCACAAUGGACGAAAGUCUGAUGGAGCAACGCCGCGUGAGUGAAGAAGGGUUUCGGCUCGUAAAACUCUGUUGUUAAAGAAGAACAUAUCUGAGAGUAACUGUUCAGGUAUUGACGGUAUUUAACCAGAAAGCCACGGCUAACUACGUGCCAGCAGCCGCGGUAAUACGUAGGUGGCAAGCGUUGUCCGGAUUUAUUGGGCGUAAAGCGAGCGCAGGCGGUUUUUUAAGUCUGAUGUGAAAGCCUUCGGCUCAACCGAAGAAGUGCAUCGGAAACUGGGAAACUUGAGUGCAGAAGAGGACAGUGGAACUCCAUGUGUAGCGGUGAAAUGCGUAGAUAUAUGGAAGAACACCAGUGGCGAAGGCGGCUGUCUGGUCUGUAACUGACGCUGAGGCUCGAAAGUAUGGGUAGCAAACAGGAUUAGAUACCCUGGUAGUCCAUACCGUAAACGAUGAAUGCUAAGUGUUGGAGGGUUUCCGCCCUUCAGUGCUGCAGCUAACGCAUUAAGCAUUCCGCCUGGGGAGUACGGCCGCAAGGCUGAAACUCAAAGGAAUUGACGGGGGCCCGCACAAGCGGUGGAGCAUGUGGUUUAAUUCGAAGCUACGCGAAGAACCUUACCAGGUCUUGACAUACUAUGCAAAUCUAAGAGAUUAGACGUUCCCUUCGGGGACAUGGAUACAGGUGGUGCAUGGUUGUCGUCAGCUCGUGUCGUGAGAUGUUGGGUUAAGUCCCGCAACGAGCGCAACCCUUAUUAUCAGUUGCCAGCAUUAAGUUGGGCACUCUGGUGAGACUGCCGGUGACAAACCGGAGGAAGGUGGGGAUGACGUCAAAUCAUCAUGCCCCUUAUGACCUGGGCUACACACGUGCUACAAUGGAUGGUACAACGAGUUGCGAACUCGCGAGAGUAAGCUAAUCUCUUAAAGCCAUUCUCAGUUCGGAUUGUAGGCUGCAACUCGCCUACAUGAAGUCGGAAUCGCUAGUAAUCGCGGAUCAGCAUGCCGCGGUGAAUACGUUCCCGGGCCUUGUACACACCGCCCGUCACACCAUGAGAGUUUGUAACACCCAAAGUCGGUGGGGUAACCUUUUAGGAACCAGCCGCCUAAGGUGGGACAGAUGAUUAGGGUGAAGUCGUAACAAGGU